Molecule: long non-coding RNA, 464 nt
Organism: Prionailurus viverrinus (fishing cat)
Lineage: Eukaryota; Metazoa; Chordata; Mammalia; Carnivora; Felidae
Exons: 3
Source: RefSeq, a predicted model, not a curated record
CCUUAGGGUACAAAAGCCCAGACCAGAAUGAGAACUGAUCUCCCCUAUUAGCUGUUCAACUUGGGGGCAAGCCAUUUACCCUCGGAAAGCUUCAGUGUCUUCUGAGUGUAAACUGAGAUCGUUAUAUCUUACUCACAAGUUUUCUAGGAAGAAAGCUGCACUUCGUCAGGACCAGGUCUCCUUUCCGUGUCCCGAGACGAUCCACCCACCUGCAGCCGGUGCUCCGUGCCAAGCAAAACCCAAACCCCGGCACCUUGCUACUUACUUAUGUGCAGACCUUCCAUGACCAGGUAUGUUUGUAUGGCAGCUAUGGGAAGGUUGAAAAGGGUCCAGUACCUUUGUAAGACCAUCAGAGAACUCAUCUGUGAACAGGUUUCUGUUCGGUGGCUUGUGCCAUGCACAAUGCUAUGCCGGACAUUGUAGUAAUAUUUGAUCCCUGACUUGAGGAGGCUCACCGUUGGAUC